AGAGUUUGAUCCUGGCUCAGGAUGAACGCUGGCGGCGUGCCUAAUACAUGCAAGUCGAGCGAACAGACGAGGAGCUUGCUCCUUUGAUGUUAGCGGCGGACGGGUGAGUAACACGUAGGUAACCUACCUAUAAGACUGGGAUAACUUCGGGAAACCGGAGCUAAUACCGGAUAAUAUUUCGAACCGCAUGGUUCGAUAGUGAAAGAUGGCUUUGCUAUCACUUAUAGAUGGACCUGCGCCGUAUUAGCUAGUUGGUAAGGUAACGGCUUACCAAGGCAACGAUACGUAGCCGACCUGAGAGGGUGAUCGGCCACACUGGAACUGAAACACGGUCCAGACUCCUACGGGAGGCAGCAGUAGGGAAUCUUCCGCAAUGGGCGAAAGCCUGACGGAGCAACGCCGCGUGAGUGAUGAAGGUCUUCGGAUCGUAAAACUCUGUUAUUAGGGAAGAACAAACGUGUAAGUAACUGUGCACGUCUUGACGGUACCUAAUCAGAAAGCCACGGCUAACUACCUGCCACCCGCCGCGGUAAUACGUAGGUGGCAAGCGUUAUCCGGAAUUAUUGGGCGUAAAGCGCGCGUAGGCGGUUUUUUAAGUCUGAUGUGAAAGCCCCACGGCUCAACCGUGGAGGGUCAUUGGAAACUGGAAAACUUGAGUGCAAAAGAGGAAAAGUGGAAUUCCAUGUGUAGCGGUGAAAUGCGCAGAGAUAUGGAGGAACACCAGUGGCGAAGGCGACUUUCUGGUCUGUAACUGACGCUGAUGUGCGAAAGCGGGGGGAUCAAACAGGAUUAGAUACUCUGGCAAUCC
This 808-nucleotide ribosomal RNA is filed under the name uncultured bacterium. Its description in RNAcentral is "bacterial SSU rRNA". It matches the Rfam family "Bacterial small subunit ribosomal RNA", at positions 8 to 796 of the family's 1533-position model. The record is from RNAcentral.